AUUAAACGCUGGCGGCAUGCCUUACACAUGCAAGUCGAACGGCAGCACGGGGGCAACCCUGGUGGCGAGUGGCGGACGGGUGAGUAAAGCAUCGGAACGUAUCCUGGAGUGGGGGAUAACUUAGCGAAAGUUACGCUAAUACCGCAUAUUCUGUGAGCAGGAAAGCAGGGGAUCGCAAGACCUUGCGCUCUGGGAGCGGCCGAUGUCGGAUUAGCUAGUUGGUGGGGUAAAGGCCUACCAAGGCGACGAUCCGUAGCGGGUCUGAGAGGAUGAUCCGCCACACUGGGACUGAGACACGGCCCAGACUCCUACGGGAGGCAGCAGUGGGGAAUUUUGGACAAUGGGCGCAAGCCUGAUCCAGCCAUGCCGCGUGAGUGAAGAAGGCCUUCGGGUUGUAAAGCUCUUUCGGCGGGGAAGAAAUUGCACGGGUUAAUACCCUGUGUAGAUGACGGUACCCGAAUAAGAAGCACCGGCUAACUACGUG
This 484-nucleotide ribosomal RNA is filed under the name uncultured bacterium. RNAcentral's name for it is "bacterial SSU rRNA". It matches the Rfam family "Bacterial small subunit ribosomal RNA", at positions 30 to 507 of the family's 1533-position model. The record is from RNAcentral.